AGCCGCGGUAAUACGGGAGGGGCGAGCGUUACCCGGAUUCACUGGGUGUAAAGGGUCUGCAGGCGGUCAAGUAUGUCCGACUUGAAAUACUCCGGCUCAACCGGAGAACGGGGUCGGAAACUGCUUGACUCCGAGUUCGGAGGAGGAAAACGGAACUGCCGGUGUAGCGGUGAAAUGCGUAGAUAUCGGCAGGAACACCAGUGGCGAAGGCGGUUUUCUACUCCGUUACUGACGCUGAGGGACGAAAGCGUGGGGAGCGAUCGGGAUUAGAUACCCCGGUAGUCCACGCCGUAAACGAUGGAUGUUAGGUGUCGGCCCGGUCAAACGGGUCGGUGCCGAAGCUAACGCGUUAAACAUCCCACCUGGGAACUACGGCCGCAAGGCUGAAACCCAAAGGAAUUGACGGGGGCCCGCACAACCGGUGGAGUAUGUGGUUUAAUUCGAUGAUACGCGAGGAACCUUACCUGGGCUUGACAUGCUGGUGGUAGGACCCCGAAAGGGGAACGACUCCGGCGUAAGCCGGGGAGCCUGCACAGGUGGUGCAUGGCC
Molecule: ribosomal RNA, 549 nt
Filed under: uncultured archaeon
Lineage: Archaea
Description: bacterial SSU rRNA
Rfam family: Bacterial small subunit ribosomal RNA
Source: RNAcentral